CUCUUCCAACUCCUGAAACACCCAGUUCACCUCCUCCGACUCCUGAAACGCCUAGUCCACCUCCUGUGGCAUAUUCACCCGGUCCACCUCCUGAAGCUGAAACGCCUAGUUCACCUCCUGAGGCUGAAACACCCGAGUCACCUCCUGAGCCUGAAACUCCCAGUUCACCUCCUGAGGCUGAAACACCUGAGUCACCUCCUGAGCCUGAAACUCCCGAUUCACCUGCACCGAGUCCAAUCUAUGUUCUGUAGCUGAAGUUUUUUUACUAGGAAAAAUAAUGUUGAUUUAUUAUUAU
This 295-nucleotide long non-coding RNA is filed under the name Cicer arietinum (chickpea). RNAcentral describes it as "long non-coding RNA (CARI_LNC000551)". Lineage: Eukaryota; Viridiplantae; Streptophyta; Magnoliopsida; Fabales; Fabaceae. The record is from RNAcentral.